GACGAACGCUGGCGGCGUGCUUAAAACAUGCAAGUCGAACGGGGUCCAACCUUCGGGUGAAGACCUAGUGGCGAACGGGUGAGUAACAUGUGGGCAACCUGCCCUCAGCUCUGGGAUAACUCCGGGAAACCGGGCUAAUACCGGAUACGACCUCUAAGGGCAUCCGAAGAGGUGGAAAGUUUUUCGGCUGAGGAUGGGCCCGCGGCCUAUCAGCUUGUUGGUGGGGUGACGGCCUACCAAGGCGACGAUCGUAGCUGGUCUGAGAGGAUGACCAGCCACACUGGGACUGAGACACGGCCCAGACUCCUACGGGAGGCAGCAGUGGGGAAUAUUGGACAAUGGGCGCAAGCCUGAUCCAGCCAUGCCGCGUGAGUGAUGACGGCCUUAGGGUUGUAAAGCUCUUUCGCUCGCGACGAUAAUGACGGUAGCGAGAGAAGAAGCCCCGGCUAACUUCGUGCCAGCCG
This 464-nucleotide ribosomal RNA is filed under the name uncultured bacterium. RNAcentral's name for it is "bacterial SSU rRNA". It matches the Rfam family "Bacterial small subunit ribosomal RNA", at positions 28 to 514 of the family's 1533-position model. The record is from RNAcentral.